Molecule: unclassified non-coding RNA, 195 nt
Filed under: uncultured Sebacina
Lineage: Eukaryota; Fungi; Basidiomycota; Agaricomycetes; Sebacinales; Sebacinaceae
Description: sequence contains ITS2
Source: RNAcentral
UACUCUCACACUUCCGAUCUUGCAUUGGGAGCGGUGGACUUGGGUUUGCUGCUUUACCGUAGCUUACCUCAAAUGGGUUAGUGCAGCUCUUGGUUGGACAUAGUACGGCGUGAUAAGUAUCUUCGCCGGCACCUCACUAGAGGGUGGCUGAUCAGGAGCUCUGUGCUUCAAACCGUCUUCGGACAACAUCUGACA